UGCAAUAAUUAUCCAUAUAUUUUCUAAACCAACAAAAGAAAGAACCUGGUUUCCUUCCCAAAAUUUGGAUACAUUGGCCAUAUCCAGAAGACCUGGACGAGCAGCCGACAGAUGGAAUUUUCCUCCUGAUGUCACAGGCCGGGGCAGAAAACUGUCAAUAUUCAUUGCAGCAAAAUAGGAGGGUUUGGGCAGUCUAUCUUGGCUUCGUUCCCUGUGUUCUCUUGAGGUCCACCCUUGCCCUUUUUUACGCUGUGCUGUUGCUGAGAGCGCUGCUAUAAAACAAGAUGCAGGGUAUGAAAUCUGUCCUCUGCAAGCUUGUUAGGAAAAUGCUUUAAGCUAGAAAAGAGUCAGAAAAAGAUAAGACACUUGGCAGAAUGGUUAUCAAAAUUAAAUGUGAAAAAAUUGAAAAGGAGAAUGAACAUUGUGAGCCAGGACUGAAGCCAAACCUUAGUCACAAGCCACUUACAUGGAAAGCAGGUUAUUCCGUGUGUACCUGUUGUGGAGUUUCUUAUGACUCAUGCAAAGGGCAGCUAUCAAACACUGUCAGAGGGGAGAUUUGUGAACUAGAGAGACAACAGGCUGCAUGACCAAUGUCAAAACCACACUUCUGGUCUGUUUGUUUGGAAAAUGUCAGAGUGGAUGCACAAGCAGAUAGCCCUGUGUAAUAAAAGAGGAUGCUUGCUGCCAGUCAUCGCUAUCUCACUUGUGAAAUCCAAGGAUUUACUUUGCUUUUAUACUGCUUAUAUUUCUCUUGUUUUUUCAGCACCUUGAUAACCUGUGGAAGAAUUUAGUGCUGAAUAAAGCGACCUUAUUCUCUCAGACAGAGAAUUGCCGUUGUUGGGAGUGGCUGAAUUGUUUGUGGCUUCAAUUUCUUUAAAGAAAAAAAAAAGAUUAGCCUUGAGUCUAUUUAUUACCAAUGCAAUAGGUCGUUAUUGUACUCUUGUUUUUCUCUUUUGCUCUCAGUCUGUGGCUAAUACUCUUUGAAUUAAUUUCUUUUCAAAUAUGGGUUGAAUAAAUGUACAGCAUAUGCAUGUGGGCAUAAAAGCUGCAACAGCUGAAGACAUGUUUAUUGAUUUAUUGACCUGUUUUCCUCAGAGACUUCAAUGCCAUGCAGGGAUUCUUUUCAAGAAGAUUUUUGUGUUAAAAGAAAUAACAGAUGGGAAUCGAAUAAAUUGCCUCGAUGGGGGUUUGUGUUACAUAGAUGUUUGUAUCUGGUAAACAAGCAGCUGGUUUGAGCCAAACUUUUAGAUGCCCGAAGGCAAAUAAGCUCAGUGGAGCUAUGACACUUCUAUCCUUCAAUGUAAUUACUCCAUAGCCAUUCAGUUUAUAAUGUUGCUUUAACAGGAUAAUGAAGUGCAAGAUUAUAUUUCUAUUAUUGUUUAUUGUAUUCCAUUGUCUUUUUAUAUGCUCACACAACUACAAGAGAUAAAGAUCUUAUGUUAAAAAACUUUGAUCCCAGCAAUGCUCCUCAGCAUUUAAGACUGCUUGCAAGCAGCAAGGACAGCAGAGUCUGUCCUGCCUGAUUUCUUUACAACUAUGUAAUACAAGAAGCUAUUGAUUUUGUUUUAUUACUCUGCUUUAGUAUUGCCCAGACCUCAAGGAUCUCUGCCAGGCAUCUGUUUCUUGCAUUUCAGCUUCGUGCCGCCUCUUCGAAGUUCACCUCUUACUCCCUGAAGCCGACGUGAUCUGGAUCAGCAACACAAACUUCUACAGUUGUGACUCUGUGUUACCCUUGUUUAUCUUCUGUCAGUCUCCUUAAGUCUGUCUGAUAUGUAGUUUCCCUCCCAGGCUUUACUGCCUGAACUUCAGAUUUCUGUGGACUAUAAAGAGAGACUGAAGCAACCAAUUCUGAUUAGACAUCAAACUUUUUAGAUACUGUGCUGGUACCUGUGGUGUAGGUGUCUGUGUGUAGGUGCAGGUGGGCUCCCAGUAUAUUACAGAGAAUGCCUCUGUAAGGCCAUUCUCUUGACUUACCUUAGAGGCCUGUCUGAUGAGCUUAACUACCCUCGACUUGUGCCUGGCUAUCAGUACAUACUGUAGAGGGAGCUGGGAAUGGUUAUGACUUAAAUGUUUAACUUACUUACAGAUGCAUAAGCUUUAGCAGAUGAGUAUUACUCAAAACCACCUUUUAAGUAUGGAUACCGUACCGUGUCCUCAGGUGCUACUUUACUUUUACUUUGCUUUUCCUACUGCAGUCCCCAGGUGGGGUUUUAAACCCAGUCAGCAGAGUACUUGCUCUCCAGCAGGAAAUAAACCCACAGGAGAACAGGACAUGGGCUCAGUGCAUGGGAUUUCAGCGAGUCUACUGAUUUUUGCAGAACAAGGGAUCACGCAUCUUGUACCGGGCACGUGGCAGAAGAUUCAUCUGUUCCUGCUAUAUAGCUCCAUUGUGCAUGUGUACACAAUGGGGAAACUCUUUCUUCAAAGCUUCUGAAGUGCAUGAAUGAAGACAAUUUCCUCUCCUUGACACAGAAGAGGAUUCUUUCACUGACUGGCUUUAUGCAACUGCGUAGACGCAGCGCAGCAGUGGUUGAACUCAGCAUCUUUCUUAACAUACCUGUCUCCUCACUUCUUUUAUGUGUGACUAAUGGUGUCACUGUGCUUCCUGCCACCCACACUUUCCAAACUGGGUGUCAUUUGUUCAUUCCUGUUUUGGAGCACUUCCUUUUCACUAUCACCUUCAUUAAUAUAAACUUUCUCAUUCUCAGCUUCACAGCCCUGCAGGAUGCCCCAUUAGCUUCCUUUUGCCAUCUUCCUGCACUCACUAACUAUCCCAAUUCUUCUGUGCCUUUUCAGUCUCACAAUUCAAGUCACAGCAUUAAAUCUUAAAGGAGAAACUGCACCAGCACAGCAGGGCCUUCCUCUGAUGACCCGCUCCACUCAUGCUUCUGGACCACAGCCUCAAGAGAAGCAGCUGGAUUUAGACAUAGCUUUUUGCUCACAGUAUCAUCAGCCAGACACAUGUGCAGGCAAAAAAACAGAUGUUUUAUGUGACUACAAAUAUUUUAGGAGCAACAAAUCACCCUUGGAUUAUUUUGAUGUUAUGCUUGACAUUUCAUGUUAUUUUUGCUAGUUCUGGAGGAGGAAAGGUGGUGAGGAGGAGUGAAACCUACUGUCAAUAUUUUUCCUGUGAAGGUUUGUGGCAUCUUUACCAUUAACUGCCUUCAAACACUCUUAAUUUUGAGGUAAUCUCUUCCCUGGGCAUAGUGGGCUGAGGGAACAGUGUGCCUUUAUGCCAACUUGAUUAGUUAUUAUGAAACCCAGAAACUUAGGGGAUUUUUGUACUGUGUGGGGAUUCAGACUUUCUGUUCUCUGAAGUUCCUUGCCCUGGAAUAUAUUCUAAUGUUGGACUGUCACUGCCAAAUUUUUUUGUGGAAUCUCAUCAGAGUCAGAAAGAUCCCAUUAAAAUGCAGUUGUUCAGACUUAGUUUUUGAUGUUACAGAAGGAUUCAUUACUGCCUCAGCUGAAUUCAAACCAGAAGAGGAAUUUUAGUUAUAUGUGAAAAUGAUCUUCAGUUUUACCUUAGUUCCUAUUUGUUUUUAGGACACCCCUGUGGGGAAAGAAGAAAGCUGUUUUCUCAGCCCUUGCUGUGGACUUUCAGUUUUACAGAUUCUAAACUGGUGGCAUGUGCUCCUGGUUGUUUACUGUCAGAAAGAUCCCAUUCUGAAGUAGUUCCAAAUCUCUUCUACUAUUACCUGCCAUGAAGCUCCAGUGAUAUCGUUUCAGCAGCUCAAAUGGUUGAAAAGCAAUCUGAAAAUGUGGGAUUUUAUAUUCAUCUAUUCUUUCUAAAGAAUAAAGUGGUUUUCUACUUA
Strigops habroptila (Kakapo) is the source of this 3812-nucleotide long non-coding RNA. RefSeq lists it as uncharacterized. The transcript has 2 exons. The record is from RefSeq and is a predicted model, not a curated record. Lineage: Eukaryota; Metazoa; Chordata; Aves; Psittaciformes; Psittacidae.